Molecule: ribosomal RNA, 239 nt
Filed under: uncultured bacterium
Lineage: Bacteria
Description: partial 16S ribosomal RNA
Rfam family: Bacterial small subunit ribosomal RNA
Source: RNAcentral
AAUCCUGGCUCAGGAUGAACGCUAGCUACAGGCUUAACACAUGCAAGUCGAGGGGCAGCGGGAUUGAAGCUUGCUUCAAUUGCCGGCGACCGGCGCACGGGUGAGUAACGCGUAUCCAACCUUCCGUACACUCAGGGAUAGCCUUUCGAAAGAAAGAUUAAUACCUGAUGGUAUGAUGAGAUUGCAUGGUAUCAUCAUUAAAGAUUUAUCGGUGUACGAUGGGGAUGCGUUCCAUUAGG